RNAcentral lists this ribosomal RNA (500 nucleotides) under uncultured bacterium. Its description in RNAcentral is "partial 16S ribosomal RNA". It matches the Rfam family "Bacterial small subunit ribosomal RNA", at positions 30 to 523 of the family's 1533-position model. The record is from RNAcentral.
AUUGAACGCUGGCGGAAUGCUUUACGCAUGCAAGUCGAACGGCAGCACGGACUUCGGUCUGGUGGCGAGUGGCGAACGGGUGAGUAACAUAUCGGAACGUAUCCAAUAAUGGGGGAUAACGAGUCGAAAGAUUCGCUAAUACCGCAUACGCCCUACGGGGGAAAGCUGGGGACCUUCGGGCCUGGCGUUAAUGGAGCGGCCGAUAUCUGAUUAGCUAGUUGGUGAGGUAAAGGCUCACCAAGGCGACGAUCAGUAGCUGGUCUGAGAGGACGACCAGCCACACUGGAACUGAGACACGGUCCAGACUCCUACGGGAGGCAGCAGUGGGGAAUUUUGGACAAUGGGCGCAAGCCUGAUUCAGCCAUUCCGCGUGAGUGAAGAAGGCCUUCGGGUUGUAAAGCUCUUUCGCAAGGGAAGAAAACUUAGCCACUAACAUUGGUUGAGGUUGACGGUACCUUGAUAAGAAGCACCGGCUAACUAUGUGCCAGCCGCCGCCGUAA